UAGGGAAUAUUGCGCAAUGGGCGAAAGCCUGACGCAGCAACGCCGCGUGGGGGAUGAAGGCCUUCGGGUUGUAAACCCCUUUCAGCAGGGAAGAAGCGCAAGUGACGGUACCUGCAGAAGAAGCACCGGCUAACUACAUACCAGCAGCCGCGGUAAUACGUAGGGUGCAAGCGUUGUCCGGAAUUAUUGGGCGUAAAGAGCUCGUAGGCGGUCUGUCGCGUCUGCUGUGAAAGUUCGGGGCUUAACCCCGGAACUGCAGUGGGUACGGGCAGACUAGAGUGCGGUAGAGGAGACUGGAAUUCCUGGUGUAGCGGUGGAAUGCGCAGAUAUCAGGAGGAACACCAGUGGCGAAGGCGGGUCUCUGGGCCGCAACUGACGCUGAGGAGCGAAAGCAUGGGGAGCGAACAGGAUUAGAUACCCGCGUAGUCC
Molecule: ribosomal RNA, 429 nt
Filed under: uncultured prokaryote
Description: bacterial SSU rRNA
Rfam family: Bacterial small subunit ribosomal RNA
Source: RNAcentral